AACGAACGCUGGCGGCAUGCCUAACACAUGCAAGUCGAACGAGACCUUCGGGUCUAGUGGCUCACGGGUGCGUAACGCGGGGGAACCUGCCCUUAGGUUCGGAAUAACUCCCCGAAAGGGGUGCUAAUACCGGGUAAUGUCUUCGGACCAAAGGUUUAUCGCCUUUGGAUGGGCCCGCGUUGGAUUAGCUAGUUGGUAGGGUAAAAGCCUACCAAGGCUACGAUCCAUAGCUGGUCUGAGAGGAAGAUCAGCCACACUGGGACUGAGACCCGGCCCAGACUCCUACGGGAGGCAGCAGUGGGGAAUAUUGGACAAUGGGCGAAAGCCUGAUCCAGCAAUGCCGCGUAAGUGAUGAAGGCCUUAGAGAUGUAAAGCACUUUUACCCGGGAUGAUAAUGACAGUACCGGGAGAAUAAGCUCCGGCUAACUCCGUG
Molecule: ribosomal RNA, 433 nt
Filed under: uncultured bacterium
Lineage: Bacteria
Description: partial 16S ribosomal RNA
Rfam family: Bacterial small subunit ribosomal RNA
Source: RNAcentral